AACGAACGCUGGCGGCAGGCUUAACACAUGCAAGUCGAACGGGUGCAGCAAUGCAUCAGUGGCAGACGGGUGAGUAACACGUGGGAACCUUCCUAGGGGUACGGAACAACUCAGGGAAACUUGAGCUAAUACCGUAUACGUCCGUAAGGAGAAAGAUUUAUCGCCCUUAGACGGGCCCGCGUCGGAUUAGCUAGUUGGUGGGGUAACGGCCUACCAAGGCGACGAUCGGUAGCUGGUCUGAGAGGAUGAUCAGCCACACUGGGACUGAGACACGGCCCAGACUCCUACGGGAGGCAGCAGUGGGGAAUAUUGGACAAUGGGCGAAAGCCUGAUCCAGCAAUGCCGCGUGGGUGAAGACGGCCUGCGGGUUGUAAAGCCCUUUAGGCGGGGAGGAACGACGGGACGUGAAUAACGUUUCGGAGUGACGUUACCCGCGGAAUAAGCACCGGCUAACUCCGUG
This 460-nucleotide ribosomal RNA is filed under the name uncultured bacterium. RNAcentral's name for it is "bacterial SSU rRNA". It matches the Rfam family "Bacterial small subunit ribosomal RNA", at positions 29 to 507 of the family's 1533-position model. The record is from RNAcentral.